RNAcentral lists this long non-coding RNA (609 nucleotides) under Homo sapiens (human). RNAcentral's name for it is "HSALNT0335138". Lineage: Eukaryota; Metazoa; Chordata; Mammalia; Primates; Hominidae. The record is from RNAcentral.
CUUUGCAGUGCUGGGACAAGAUUCUUCAGAUGGCUAUGUAUGCUCUGAAUCAGCAUCCAAUAUAUGGCAGUGUUUCUCCCAUAGCCAGGAGUCACAGGUCCAGGAAUCAAGGGGUGAAAGUUGAAGUGGCACCACUCACCAUCACCCCUAGUGACCCACUAGUAAAAUUUUUGCUUCCUGUUCUGCUGGCCUCGAGGUCUCAGUUCCAGAGGGAGGAAUGCUGCCACCAGGUGACAUAAAGAUGACUCCAUUAAACUGGAAGUUAAGCAUGUCACCUGGCCACUUUGGGCUCCUGCUACCUGUAAGUCAAGAGGCUAAAAAGGGAGUUACAGUGUUGGCUGGGGUGAUUACCUGGAAUAUCAAGAUGAAAUCAGUCUACUACUCCACAAUGGAGGAACUGUCCCUUUAGCUUGAGCUCUGGAAUGGAAAGACAUUCAAUAGAUUGACAGCAGUUAACCCACAGCCAUUGACACCUAAAACAAUAAAAUAAUGACUACAACAAUUUUGAUAGGUAAACCUAUCAGUAUGUUUUACAGCUUUUGGUUGAUGGGGGGAGGGAAUCUAAAUGUAGGGUAGAAGCUAAAAUAGAAGACUGACAACUUCUCUAAG